CCUGACUGUUUAGAAUUAUGUCGGGUGAAAACACGUUUAUGGCAAGAAUAUUUAGACAACUUUGCAAAACUCAACAAGUUGACACUUAUUGAUAACUUACUAAAGAAAGCAGACGUACUAAAGAAAGCAGACGUGCUUUGUAUCGAAUGCAAAACAGAAGACGCCGUUCAAGAAAUAGAGCAUAUAGACGACCUUCCAAGAAAACAUUUUCUGCAAUGUAGACUGCGUAAAAUCGAAAUGAUCGAUAUUGGCAAGCCUGUUGCUGUCUUUCUGAAGACGUUUAUCUUUAUUCCAACACAGUAUCAGAAGGCACUUACAUUGGAUGAGGUUGAAUCAUGUUUGGAAAUGCUCAAAAGUGUCUAUCACAACGGUUUACUUGAAGCUUUGUGUAUUGUUACACAACGUAUGAAAACCGAUAAACUGUGUGGGCAAAGAUUGAAAAUCACGUGUGAG
This is a long non-coding RNA of Dreissena polymorpha, 453 nucleotides long. RefSeq lists it as uncharacterized. The record is from RefSeq and is a predicted model, not a curated record. Lineage: Eukaryota; Metazoa; Mollusca; Bivalvia; Myida; Dreissenidae. The transcript has 4 exons.